This is a small nuclear RNA of Suricata suricatta (meerkat), 105 nucleotides long. Lineage: Eukaryota; Metazoa; Chordata; Mammalia; Carnivora; Herpestidae. The record is from Ensembl.
GCGCUUGCUUCGGCAGCACGUAUACUAAAAUAGGAGGGGAUACAGAGAAUAGCAUGGCCCCUGUGCAAGGAUGACACACAAAUUUGUGAAGCAUUCCAUAUUUAA